Gossypium raimondii (Peruvian cotton) is the source of this 144-nucleotide non-coding RNA. The record is from Rfam. Lineage: Eukaryota; Viridiplantae; Streptophyta; Magnoliopsida; Malvales; Malvaceae.
UAUUAAAAUUUUCAUCCGUUUAUUCUGUUAAUAAUUGGUUUGGUUAAUGGAAUAACCAAAUAGUGACACGUGGCAUGUCAUGUGUACCUUAUAUUAGUGUACAAUGACCAAUUUUAACUAUAGAAAUGGAUGAAAUUUUUAACA